Molecule: small RNA, 77 nt
Filed under: Xanthomonas oryzae
Lineage: Bacteria; Pseudomonadati; Pseudomonadota; Gammaproteobacteria; Lysobacterales; Lysobacteraceae
Description: sX9
Source: RNAcentral
ACCUACCACCCGUACACUGCAGUUCCUGCGCGCUGUUCACUCCUGGCUCAAGAUGGCUCGCUUACGUUUUGUCGGCU